RNAcentral lists this ribosomal RNA (280 nucleotides) under uncultured Ascomycota. Its description in RNAcentral is "partial 18S ribosomal RNA". It matches the Rfam family "Eukaryotic small subunit ribosomal RNA", at positions 548 to 834 of the family's 1831-position model. Lineage: Eukaryota; Fungi; Ascomycota. The record is from RNAcentral.
UUGGAGGGCAAGUCUGGUGCCAGCAGCCGCGGUAAUUCCAGCUCCAAUAGCGUAUAUUAAAGUUGUUGUGGUUAAAAAGCUCGUAGUUGAACCUUGGGCCUGGCUGGCCGGUCCGCCUCACCGCGAGUACUGGCUCGGCCGGGCCUUUCCCCCUGUGGAACCCCAUGCCCUUCACUGGGCGUGGCGGGAAAACAGGACUUUUACUUUGAAAAAAUUAGAGUGCUCCAGGCAGGCCUAUGCUCGAAUACAUUAGCAUGGAAUAAUAGAAUAGGACGUGUGG